This 63-nucleotide transfer RNA is filed under the name Psilotreta sp. XG-2021. RNAcentral's name for it is "tRNA-Thr". The record is from RNAcentral. Lineage: Eukaryota; Metazoa; Arthropoda; Insecta; Trichoptera; Odontoceridae.
GUUUUAAUAGUUUAUAUAAAACUUUGAUUUUGUAAACCAAAAAAAUACUUAUUAUUUAAAACU